CCCCUACCACGCAGCCUCCCUCCCAGCACCAAUAGAGGGCCGGCUACCAUGACACGACAGCGUCGUCGCAAGCCUCACAGGGCUGUGCAUCUCGUCGUCUGCCACGCCCUACCAGGAGCUCCAUCACCCACGCGUCUCCUCCGAGGAGGGGACGGUGGCUUGUGCGCCGGCGUGGUUGGCUCCAGCUCCCCGCCGACCUAUGCCUCCACAUGCGUCACCGUCUUCCACCGCAGGCCCAUGUCCUCGAUCUGCUUCCUUUGCUUCCCGUAGGUUUCCGCAUAGAUCUGGCCGUUUGAUUUGAUGCGGAUGCGAAUUUGGAUCUCCAUCGCUGUAGGUUUCCCGUAGGUUUCCUGGUUCGUACUCGCAUUCGAAUUAGCAUCGAAUCCCUCAGUUUAUGCAGUUUCAUUCUGGUUGAUUGACAUCCCUGUGAAGAUAAAAUUCAGGACCAACUAUUAGCUUUUUGUGAAGGAAAAACAGUUGGUAAAAAAUCAUAGAAACCCCCAAUAAGUGGAUUUAUAGUUGACAGAAGAAGUAUGAUUUGGUGUUGGUGUGUGUGAACUUCUAAAAUUUUGAUCUCUGAAUGCUAGUUGGACAUUUUGCUAGUCUGACAUUUUGAUAUCUGAAUGCUAGUUUGACAUUUUGAUAUCUGAAUCCCUUUCUCUUCCCCUCAUCUUUUCUUCUUCUUCUCUCUGUCUGACCCCCUUCUCAUCUCUCUUUCGAGCCAGGACGUCACCAUGGGAGAAGAAGGCAUGAUGUGUUGUGCUGCUGCUUGGGAGGGAUGCCAUCGGCCUCCCUACUCUGCUUCUUCUCUUCCCCUAACUCCAUCAAGGUGAUGGAUUGGUACAUGGACCUACUCCCCUGCUUCCUAUGUUAAUUUGGUGUGUGAUGUGGAUGUGAUGUAUUUUAGGCAUGAUUAAAUACGUAUUUGGUUCAACUCUGACUGAAACAACUUGUUGGUUCAGUUUCUUGUAUGAAGAACAAAUAUGGAGAACACCUUUUAUUUUCCUUUUUGUUCAAGAUUCAUUUCUAAUUCUAAACCAAACUGAAAUUGCAAAUAGUAUAGAAUGAAUGAAGCAGAGAGUCCUUCCUUAUUUCGCAGCUGGCACAAUUCCUUCUCAAGGUGCUGGUGUUUGUGGAGGACAUGAAAUGAUUUGCAGAGUACAAGGGUGGGCUCAUCGAGGUGUGUGGUGGUAGGCUCGCUCGGCCCCAGCGUCUUCUGUUGAACGGACAUGCCACCUCUUCGGCGUCAGCUACAUGAGAGCCAUGGAAUCAAUGAUGCCGACCUCAUUGCUGGGCACUGUGCUUUUGGUGUAUUAUAUGGCUGGGAGAAAACACAUAGUUUCCUGCUGGUUUAUUACAUAUCAGCCAGUACUAUACGGAGUAGUAUAUAAGGACGUCUUACUGUAGUAUGGCUGAGGCAGUGACCAGCUUGGUAGUUAGUACUAGCUGAGAAAAUUUAUGAUGCUGGCUGAGAGCAAAAAGUUUAUAGGCUUAGUUGCUGUAUUGGUUCUGUUGUUGUAUGGGGAUAUAUGCAUAGAUAUGUAACAUGUGGGUUCCAAGCA
Triticum urartu is the source of this 1562-nucleotide non-coding RNA. Lineage: Eukaryota; Viridiplantae; Streptophyta; Magnoliopsida; Poales; Poaceae. The record is from RefSeq and is a predicted model, not a curated record.